This 403-nucleotide ribosomal RNA is filed under the name uncultured bacterium. RNAcentral's name for it is "partial 16S ribosomal RNA". It matches the Rfam family "Bacterial small subunit ribosomal RNA", at positions 28 to 526 of the family's 1533-position model. The record is from RNAcentral.
GACGAACGCUGGCGGCGUGCCUAAUACAUGCAAGUCGAACGCAGUGGGGACGGGUGAGUAACACGUGGGUAACCUCCCAUCAGAGCGGAUAACACUUGGAAACAGGUGCUAAACCGAUACUGAUGGAUGAACCCGCGGUGCAUUAGCUAGUUGGUGAGGUAACGCCUCACCAAGGCCAAGAUGCAUAGCCGACCUGAGAGGGUGAUCGGCCACACUGGGACUGAGACACGGCCCAGACUCCUACGGGAGGCAGCAGUAGGGAAUCUUGGGCAAUGGACGAAAGUCUGACCGAGCAACGCCGCGUGAGUGAAGAAGGUUUUCGGAUCGUAAAGCUCUGUUGGUAGAGAAGCGUUAUCUAAACAGAAAGCCACGGCUAACUACGUGCCAGCAGCCGCGGUAAUUC